UACCUAUGACCGCACAAAAUUGAAGACCUUCUAGAUUCUUCCAUUAAAGCCCAACAACAAAUCUAGGCCGUUCAUUCCCUUCCUUCAAUAAAACCACAGAUCCUACGCUAGCCGCCUCCUUCCUCUUCUCCUUUUCAUUCCCAAAUACCUAAAUCCCAAAUCUUCUCAACUUUGGAUUUCAAUUUUCAAUCGAUUUGUGAUUUGCAGGUGAAAAUUGAGUAAUUAAGUUGAAAUCAAAGAUGUUCGGGAGAGCACCAAAGAAGAGUGACAACUCGAAGUACUAUGAGAUCUUAGGAGUUCCUAAGAGUGCUUCACAAGAUGAUCUGAAAAAAGCUUACCGUAAAGCCGCCAUUAAAAAUCAUCCUGAUAAGGGCGGUGAUCCUGAAAAAUUUAAGGAGCUUGCCCAAGCCUAUGAGGUUUUGAGUGACCCAGAGAAGCGUGAGAUUUAUGAUCAGUACGGUGAAGAUGCUCUUAAGGAAGGAAUGGGUGGUGGAGGUGGUGCACACGACCCAUUUGACAUAUUCCAGUCAUUCUUUGGUGGCGGUGGAUUUGGCGGUGGUGGAAGCAGCAGAGGAAGAAGGCAAAGGAAAGGGGAGGAUGUUGUCCACCCUCUCAAGGUCUCUUUGGAGGAUCUCUACAGUGGGACAUCAAAGAAGCUAUCACUAUCUCGCAAUGUGUUGUGCUCAAAAUGCAAGGGAGUAGGAUCUAAAUCAGGUGCUUCAAUGAAAUGUUCGGGUUGUCAAGGGUCUGGAAUGAAAGUUUCUAUCAGACAACUUGGCCCCAUGAUCCAGCAGAUGCAGCACCCUUGUAACGAUUGUAAGGGUACUGGUGAGAAAAUCAACGAGAAAGAUAGGUGCCCACAGUGUAAGGGUGAGAAAGUUGUGCAGCAGAAGAAGGUGUUGGAAGUUCAUGUGGAGAAGGGUAUGCAGAAUGGACAAAAGAUUACAUUCCCAGGAGAGGCUGACGAAGCGCCCGAAACUAUCACUGGGGACAUAGUUUUUAUAUUACAACAGAAGGAACACCCCAAGUUUAAGCGUAAGGGAGAUGAUCUCUUUGUAGAGCACACCUUGACCUUGACUGAGGCGCUAUGUGGUUUCCAGUUCGUCUUGACACACCUAGACAGCAGACAGCUGCUCAUUAAAUCCCAACCUGGAGAAGUUGUCAAGCCUGAUCAAUUUAAGGGCAUAAAUGAUGAAGGAAUGCCAAUGUACCAAAGGCCAUUCAUGAGGGGAAAACUGUACAUUCACUUCACUGUAGACUUCCCCGAUACAUUUGCUCCAGAGAUGUGCAAGAACCUUGAAGCAGUACUGCCGCCAAGGCCUAAAACACAAGCUUCCGAUAUGGAGUUGGACGAGUGCGAGGAGACCACUUUGCAUGAUGUGAACAUGGAAGAAGAGAUGCGUAGGAAGAGGCAGCAGCAGGCCCAAGAGGCAUACGAGGAAGAUGAUGAGGACGAUAUGCAUGGUGGUGCGCAAAGAGUGCAAUGUGCACAACAGUAAUUCAUGUGUCUUUUGGCAGAUAACAGGAGUUAUUCCGGCAAGGAAGUACCAAGCCCUGGUCUUGGGUUUGAUGAUAGGGUUGAUAAGGAAUGACAGCCAGGAAUGUGCUUUUUGUAGGAGAUAGAGAAUAGAUUACUAUGAAUUUGGAUUUUAUUUAUGCAAAUUGAAGGGUUAUUGACAAUUGUAAGAGUGCUGAAAGAUUUUGCGACUUUUGAACCACAGCUUUAUUCAAUUCUUUGAUUUCCAAACUGA
This is an RNA transcript of Nicotiana attenuata, 1751 nucleotides long. It is a transcript of the gene named dnaJ protein homolog 2-like, with no coding region annotated. Lineage: Eukaryota; Viridiplantae; Streptophyta; Magnoliopsida; Solanales; Solanaceae. The record is from RefSeq and is a predicted model, not a curated record. The transcript is spliced from 7 exons.